This 22-nucleotide small RNA is filed under the name Drosophila melanogaster (fruit fly). Its description in RNAcentral is "smithRNA133rA". The record is from RNAcentral. Lineage: Eukaryota; Metazoa; Arthropoda; Insecta; Diptera; Drosophilidae.
AGUAUUUUGACUGUGCAAAGGU